Anguilla anguilla (European eel) is the source of this 555-nucleotide long non-coding RNA. RefSeq lists it as uncharacterized. The record is from RefSeq and is a predicted model, not a curated record. The transcript is spliced from 2 exons. Lineage: Eukaryota; Metazoa; Chordata; Actinopteri; Anguilliformes; Anguillidae.
CCAUACAGCCAGCACAAAGGAGAACCCAGACUUCUAGUGAUAAGUGACACAAGAUCUUUCAUGACCAUUGACCUGGAUGUGCAUUUUCAGAAUGCGUAAUGAACUUGGGUAGACUGAAACAUAAGCAGCAAGAAAAAAAGAUCAGAAAGAUGCUGCCCUCUGAUGGCAUUCACUGGAACUGCUGUCUCACAGUUCACACAACCCAGUCCAGUCAGAAGAUGUGCUCAGUCAACCCGAAAAUCUGUGGGAGGAACCCUUGAAACAUUAUCAGGAAUCAUCAAUCUUGAGGAGGGAACAUACAAGAAACUAUAUAUGAAACAAGAAAGAGAAUUGGUGAGAAGAAUGGGGUGCAAAGACUUCAAGUCUCCUUGAUGGAGUGGCACCAUAAGCACCUGCCCACACCGGCUGUUCCUUACCUUCAUACUGUGUCUCCAGGUCUCUCACCAGCAAGGACAGGAAGCUGUGAUUGGCUGAAAGCAGGGCUUUGAUCCAGCUCUCCUGACUCUGCUGGUCUUCAGCCGCAAGCUUAUAGGUCCUGAGGCCUGUCCCGCUGAA